Molecule: transfer RNA, 75 nt
Filed under: Crossodactylodes bokermanni (Bokermann's stream froglet)
Lineage: Eukaryota; Metazoa; Chordata; Amphibia; Anura; Leptodactylidae
Description: tRNA-Val
Rfam family: tRNA
About the family: Transfer RNA (tRNA) molecules are approximately 80 nucleotides in length.
Source: RNAcentral
AACAACGUAAUAUAGCUUAGCCAAAGCAUCCCGCUUACACCGAGAAUACACCCGUGAAACUCGAGUUGUUACGAG